AGUGAACGCUGGCGGUAGGCCUAACACAUGCAAGUCGAACGGCAGCACAGUAAGAGCUUGCUCUUACGGGUGGCGAGUGGCGGACGGGUGAGGAAUACAUCGGAAUCUACUUUUUCGUGGGGGAUAACGUAGGGAAACUUACGCUAAUACCGCAUACGACCUACGGGUGAUAGCAGGGGAUCUUCGGACCUUGCGCGAUUGAAUGAGCCGAUGUCGGAUUAGCUAGUUGGCGGGGUAAAGGCCCACCAAGGCGACGAUCCGUAGCUGGUCUGAGAGGAUGAUCAGCCACACUGGAACUGAGACACGGUCCAGACUCCUACGGGAGGCAGCAGUGGGGAAUAUUGGACAAUGGGCGCAAGCCUGAUCCAGCCAUACCGCGUGGGUGAAGAAGGCCUUCGGGUUGUAAAGCCCUUUUGUUGGGAAAGAAAAGCAGCAGGUUAAUACCCCGCUGUUCUGACGGUACCCAAAGAAUAAGCACCGGCUAACUUCGUG
Molecule: ribosomal RNA, 492 nt
Filed under: uncultured bacterium
Lineage: Bacteria
Description: partial 16S ribosomal RNA
Rfam family: Bacterial small subunit ribosomal RNA
Source: RNAcentral